RNAcentral lists this ribosomal RNA (478 nucleotides) under uncultured bacterium. RNAcentral describes it as "partial 16S ribosomal RNA". It matches the Rfam family "Bacterial small subunit ribosomal RNA", at positions 28 to 523 of the family's 1533-position model. The record is from RNAcentral.
GACGAACGCUGGCGGCGUGCUUAACACAUGCAAGUCGAACGGUAAGGCCCUUCGGGGUACACGAGUGGCGAACGGGUGAGUAACACGUGGGUGAUCUGCCCUGCACUUCGGGAUAAGCCUGGGAAACUGGGUCUAAUACCGGAUAGGACCACUGCCUGCAUGGGUGGUGGUGGAAGGCUUUUGCGGUGUGGGAUGGGCCCGCGGCCUACCAGCUUGUUGGUGGGGUGAUGGCCUACCAAGGCGACGACGGGUAGCCGGCCUGAGAGGGUGACCGGCCACACUGGGACUGAGAUACGGCCCAGACUCCUACGGGAGGCAGCAGUGGGGAAUAUUGCACAAUGGGCGCAAGCCUGAUGCAGCGACGCCGCGUGAGGGAUGACGGCCUUCGGGUUGUAAACCUCUUUCAGCACCGACGAAGCGCAAGUGACGGUAGGUGCAGAAGAAGGACCGGCCAACUACGUGCCAGCAGCCGCGGUAA